Molecule: ribosomal RNA, 409 nt
Filed under: uncultured beta proteobacterium
Lineage: Bacteria; Pseudomonadati; Pseudomonadota; Betaproteobacteria
Description: bacterial SSU rRNA
Rfam family: Bacterial small subunit ribosomal RNA
Source: RNAcentral
GAGUUUGAUCUUGGCUCAGAUUGAACGCUGGCGGCAUGCCUUACACAUGCAAGUCGAGCGGCAGCGCGGGGGCAACCCUGGCGGCGAGCGGCGAACGGGUGAGUAAUACAUCGGAACGUGUCCAGUAGCGGGGGAUAACCUGUCGAAAGAUAGGCUAAUACCGCAUACGACCUACGGGUGAAAGCGGGGGACCGCAAAGGCCUCGCACUAUUGGAGCGGCCGAUGUCGGAUUAGCUAGUUGGCGGGGUAAAAAGCCCACCAAGGCGACGAUCCGUAGCUGGUCUGAGAGGACGAUCAGCCACACUGGAACUGAGACACGGUCCAGACUCCUACGGGAGGCAGCAGUGGGGAAUUUUGGACAAUGGGGGCAACCCUGAUCCAGCCAUGCCGCGUGAGUGAAGAAAGGCCU